RNAcentral lists this non-coding RNA (83 nucleotides) under uncultured Mamiellales. The record is from RNAcentral. Lineage: Eukaryota; Viridiplantae; Chlorophyta; Mamiellophyceae; Mamiellales.
UUUUGUUUUUGUUUUUUUUUUUUUUGCUGGUUUUCUUUUUAUUUAUCCUACUCUCACUGACACGUUUCCGAAACAUGGAGGAG